This 119-nucleotide ribosomal RNA is filed under the name Oncorhynchus kisutch (coho salmon). The record is from RNAcentral. Lineage: Eukaryota; Metazoa; Chordata; Actinopteri; Salmoniformes; Salmonidae.
GCUUACGACCACACCGGCUGAGUACGCUGAUCUCGUCUGAUCUCGGAAGCUAAGCAGGGUCGGGCCUGGUUAGUACUUGGAUGGGAGACCGCCUGGGAAUCCAGGUGCUGUUGUAAGCU